UCUUUUUGAGUUUAGUGGAAUUGUUAUACUUCGAUUUUAUUGUCCAUAUAUUCGGUAUUAUGGAAGCUAUGAGUUUUAAAUAUUUAUGUUAUUUCAUAUCUAAAAGUGGUGUGAUAUAAUUACGAAAGCAAAACUGCAGAAUCAUUUAUAAGUAUGUGAUUUACAUGUUGUUCAGUUAGUUAGUUAGUUAGUUAAAUGUGUUAACUGCAGCGAGUUGUAAUAAUGAUUGUAACUUUUUUAUUAGUUAUUAUAGCUCAACUGGAUGGAUGCGUCGUCAGGUCUAAAUCUCGCCGGUUCAGGACAGCACCAGUGACGUACUGUGACGGACACAAAGGAUCCGGAGAGAAGAUCAGCGCUCGGUGCAGUUACCCCGGUUACCACUGCUACUGCAUCAACCUCCCCCACGAGUAUCCUUCUUGUCAGUGCUCACGCGAGAUUGCCCCCACCACGCCUCUUCCUGUGUUUACUUCCUCUGCUGUGCCGCCACUGGGGGGCGCGGCAGCCACAUGGAAACCUUUAUAUGUUCUGGGGAUCGGAGGAGGGGUGCUUUUAGUGGUUGUUUUAACGAGCAUUGCGUGUUGUUGUGUGUGUAGACACUGGUACGCGCAGCAGCCACGUGCAGUGCCUGAUAAACCGCCUGAGUACAGUGAUUCUCCGCCCCCGCCUUACGCGCACUCCUCUUUCUACGCCACUAAUGCUCACCGUCCUAGAACUGUACACAGGAUAACCCGCGGGGCUCAUCCCUCUGCUUCAGUUACAAGACAUGUUUCAAGUGCUAUUUUACAGGCCUCGUCUCGUCAUAAUAAUGUGGCUCCUAUCGGAAUGGUAGGUAGUCAUUCUGAACAUAACAUGCAGAAUAUGCAGAAUAUACAGAAUAUGCAGAAUAUCGAGAGUUAUCCUAUUAUAAGGACAGAGGAAUGUUACCGGACGAUCAGUAGAGGUGAUAGUGACAGAGUGAGGUUUCCUGUGGGAAAUACCCGUUCAGGGGGACGGUUUAAUUCAGAUGACAUUGCUAUUGUAGAUCUAGACGAGGUGUGACAGUGCGAAGAGGUAAAUCAACAUUCCAUAAUUAGCCUAGCAAAUAGCAGGUCGAUUGGUCAUAUAUAUCAGGGGGAAUUUAAUAUACAUAUUUGAAAAUUGAUGUUUUUGGAAUGUUUGGUAUUUUGUAGUGGAAUCUAGUGAACAUUUGGAUGUCAGAGGUGCUAUGUACUGUUUUUUUUUGUGAGUUAAAUUUGAAUGUACAUGAUGUGCGAUUUUCCGUGACUUUGAACGAAUGAUUAAAUGAAAAUA
This is a long non-coding RNA of Bolinopsis microptera, 1290 nucleotides long. RefSeq lists it as uncharacterized. The transcript is spliced from 2 exons. The record is from RefSeq and is a predicted model, not a curated record. NCBI's taxonomy places the organism in Eukaryota, Metazoa, Ctenophora, Tentaculata, Lobata, Bolinopsidae.